GUUUUGAUUUCAAACAGGAUAUAUACAUUUACAGGAAAGAAUCAACAAAUGAAUAAAAAAAUGUGGUCUAAAAAUGAUAAGAACAACUACAUUCUUCAAAUUCCUACAAGCUUAUCCCUGAAUUUCCCUUUUAAAAUCAUAAUUAGAGGAAGAGAAAAGUAAAGAAAUAUCAAGGCUCCUCCAAGAUGGGCUCCAGAGCAGGAGUCCAGUGGCAGUAAUUCCGCAACUGGCAACUGCCAAAGUCCGAAUCAAGCCCUUCCAAAGACUCAACCUCAGUCUCUGCCUCCACAGUCAUAGGAACAGCCGGUAGAAUCUUAGCGCCUCUCCGCUUCUUUUGUGACCUUUUCUUAGCAGACUCUACAAUUGCCAUUUCCGAGUCCGAAAUCUUACGAUUGACCUUACUUAAAGGAACUAAAAGGUAAAGCUUUCCAGCUAAAAGCUCGUCCUCAGCACGCAAGGCAGAUAUACGGCGAGUCCUACGGAGGUCGUGCAGAGACGAGACGACGUGGCCAGGUUCUUCGAGCAUGAGCUCAGCGGCUUUUAGAGGGAGCAUGAGUUGCCUGAUGUUGCCGUGAAAAUCCAUAAGUCUUGCAGUUGAAGGGGAAUUAAAGCAGGAAGCAUAGUUUCCCAUAUUAGGUAAGCAAGCGAUUGAAGAGAAAAGGAAUGAGAAGUUGCUGUUAACAGAGAUUUAGGAUGGAUGGAGGGUGGUAUAGCAAAGAUGAU
This 723-nucleotide unclassified non-coding RNA is filed under the name Hevea brasiliensis (rubber tree). The record is from RNAcentral. Lineage: Eukaryota; Viridiplantae; Streptophyta; Magnoliopsida; Malpighiales; Euphorbiaceae.